CAGCAGCCGCGGUAAUACGUAGGGUGCGAGCGUUAAUCGGAAUUACUGGGCGUAAAGCGUGCGCAGGCGGCUUUGCAAGACAGAUGUGAAAUCCCCGGGCUCAACCUGGGAACUGCAUUUGUGACUGCAAGGCUAGAGUGCGGCAGAGGGAGAUGGAAUUCCGCGUGUAGCAGUGAAAUGCGUAGAUAUGCGGAGGAACACCGAUGGCGAAGGCAAUCUCCUGGGCCUGCACUGACGCUCAUGCACGAAAGCGUGGGGAGCAAACAGGAUUAGAUACCCCAGUAGUCCCUGUCUCUUAUAC
Molecule: ribosomal RNA, 301 nt
Filed under: uncultured bacterium
Lineage: Bacteria
Description: partial 16S ribosomal RNA
Rfam family: Bacterial small subunit ribosomal RNA
Source: RNAcentral